Acanthosepion pharaonis is the source of this 115-nucleotide non-coding RNA. NCBI's taxonomy places the organism in Eukaryota, Metazoa, Mollusca, Cephalopoda, Sepiida, Sepiidae. The record is from the annotation of a GenBank genome assembly.
UUACGGCCAUAACAUGUUCAUUUCACCGGUUCUUGUACGAGCACCGAAGUUAAGCAACAUCGAACCUGGUCAGUACCUAUAUGGGUGACAGCUUGGGAAUACCAGGUGCUGUAAG